RNAcentral lists this ribosomal RNA (501 nucleotides) under uncultured bacterium. Its description in RNAcentral is "partial 16S ribosomal RNA". It matches the Rfam family "Bacterial small subunit ribosomal RNA", at positions 30 to 523 of the family's 1533-position model. The record is from RNAcentral.
AUUGAACGCUGGCGGCAGGCUUAACACAUGCAAGUCGAGCGGAGAUGAGGUGCUUGCACCUUAUCUUAGCGGCGGACGGGUGAGUAAUGCUUAGGAAUCUGCCUAUUAGUGGGGGACAACAUUCCGAAAGGAAUGCUAAUACCGCAUACGUCCUACGGGAGAAAGCAGGGGAUCUUCGGACCUUGCGCUAAUAGAUGAGCCUAAGUCGGAUUAGCUAGUUGGUGGGGUAAAGGCCUACCAAGGCGACGAUCUGUAGCGGGUCUGAGAGGAUGGGCCGCCACACGGGAACUGAGACACGGCCCAGACUCCUACGGGAGGCAGCAGUGGGGAAUAUUGGACAAUGGGGGGAACCCUGAUCCGGCCAUGCCGCGUGUGUGAAGAAGGCCUUAUGGUUGUAAAGCACUUUAAGCGAGGAGGAGGCUACUCUAGUUAAUACCUAGGGAUAGUGGACGUUACUCGCAGAAUAAGCACCGGCUAACUCUGUGCCAGCCGCCGCCGUAA